RNAcentral lists this ribosomal RNA (774 nucleotides) under uncultured Neocallimastigales. RNAcentral's name for it is "partial large subunit ribosomal RNA". It matches the Rfam family "Eukaryotic large subunit ribosomal RNA", at positions 24 to 637 of the family's 3401-position model. The record is from RNAcentral. Lineage: Eukaryota; Fungi; Neocallimastigomycota; Neocallimastigomycetes; Neocallimastigales.
GUAGUCUCGCACAGAUGCAUAUCAAUAAGCGGAGGAAAAGAAACUAACAAGGAUUCCCCUAGUAACGGCGAGUGAAGCGGGAAGAGCUCAAAUUUGAAAUCUUAAAGGGUUUCCCUUUACGAAUUGUAGUUUAAAGAAGUGUUUUCUGUUGAGGUUUUGGUAAAAGUUCUUUGGAAUAGGACAUCAUAGAGGGUGAGAAUCCCGUAUUUGACCUUUACUUUCAACUUUGUGAUACACUUUCAAAGAGUCGGAUUGUUUGGGAAUGCAGUCCAAAAUGGGUGGUAAAUUUCAUCUAAAGCUAAAUAUUGGCGAGAGACCGAUAGCGAACAAGUACCGUGAGGGAAAGAUGAAAAGAACUUUGAAAAGAGAGUUAAACAGUACGUGAAAUUGUCAAAAGGGAAGCGUUUGACACCAGUGUUGUUUUUCUGAAAAUCAAUUAAAGAACUGUUUAUGCUAAGUUGUUUAGACUUUAUCAGCUAACUGUUUAGUUUUGAGCUUUUCUUUAAUGCACUUUUCAGUUAACAAGUCAACAUCAAUUUCUUUUGCUGUAAAAAAGCUUGAGGAAGGUGGCUUGAGAUUCGUCUUAAGUGUUUAUAGCCUCUUGCCUAUGCAGUCGGAGAGAUUGAGGUCUGCAGCGUAGAUCCUUCGGGGCUAAAUGCAUUUGUGCUAAGUUAUAACAUUUCAUAGACAACUUGUUGACUAUGAUUUGUCUUGUAGCUUACUCGCUUAUGUUAUUUUACCUACGCUUAGGAUGUUGACAGCAGUAUAGACUGU